UACGUAGGGUGCAAGCGUUAAUCGGAAUUACUGGGCGUAAAGCGUGCGCAGGCGGUGAUGUAAGACAGAUGUGAAAUCCCCCGGGCUCAACCUGGGAACUGCAUUUGUGACUGCAUCGCUGGAGUGCGGCAGAGGGAGGUGGAAUUCCGCGUGUAGCAGUGAAAUGCGUAGAUAUGCGGAGGAACACCGAUGGCGAAGGCAGCCUCCUGGGAUAACACUGACG
Molecule: ribosomal RNA, 223 nt
Filed under: uncultured bacterium
Lineage: Bacteria
Description: partial 16S ribosomal RNA
Rfam family: Bacterial small subunit ribosomal RNA
Source: RNAcentral